GGUCUGCAACCUGAAGGCAAGCUCAUCAACGGGAAUGAAGAAGACAACCUUUAAUGCAGAAGCUGAAAAACAGAAAAAGAAGCUAGAGUAAGGAGAUGAGGGCGAGCAGGCUUCCGCUGGAAUUCUUAAUCUCGACACCAAAUGUCAGCACCGUGAGAACUGAAAGAGAGCAUUUCAGAAUGCUGGGACCGCGGAUGUGAGACUUCAUAGCUGCCAGGCAAGCACACUAACAACUGAGCUGCAUUUCCACACCCGGAUGAACUUUGUCUGAGCAUAAAGACCACACAGAAGAGCAAGCGCAAUUGUUAGCAUAGGAUCUGCUCCAUAGUCACGUGACCAGCAUGAAAGUCAGCUUCACCCUAAAAGACAGCCAUCUUGGCUUUUAUCCUAGCCUCAUUUAUGCUUCUUUCACAACUCUUCAUAAAUGGGAUUUUGUGGCAAGUGGCCCUUCAUGUCUCAUUUUGUUUUUUUUUCAACUUCAUAGCUUCAUUCUUAUGAAGAUUGAAUGAGUCUUCUUCAGAGAUUCAUUCUUGUGGCUGUAAUAUUUUGGGUUCCUUCAUUGUCAUGGCUGUGGAAGAGUCCAUUGCAUGAACACAGACCACACUUCAUUUGUUCGUUGUUACAAGUGAAUAUUUGGCUAGUUUCUGAUUCAGGUCUAUUAUGAACAAUACAUGUCUUAUGGUCAAUAUGUGUAUACAUUUCUGUUUUGUUGAGAUUGUGUUAUACAUAGAGACAAAUGUGCAGACAACUUUAUACCGAAAGUCUUCCAAUAUGUAUUAUUUUGGAAUUUGUAUAUGCACAAGUUUGUACACUCGUAGCUCCUGUCUGAUCUUUAUACCUUCUCCCUCCUUUUUUUUGCCUUAUUGCAUUCAGUAGAACCACCAGUACAAUGUUCAGUAGGACAGAUGAUGCUGAACAUUCUUACCUUGUUCCAAAAACUACAGAGAAGCUCUUUAAUUAUUCGUGCUUAGUACGCUUUACACUGCAUGGUUUUGUUGCUGUUGUUUUAGAGCAAAGAAUGAAUAUUUCUCUUCUAACUUUGCUGAGUUUCUCUUAUCAUGAAUAGAUAAUAAAUGUCUUAAAACGCA
Long non-coding RNA from Meriones unguiculatus (Mongolian gerbil), 1088 nucleotides. RefSeq lists it as uncharacterized. The transcript is spliced from 2 exons. NCBI's taxonomy places the organism in Eukaryota, Metazoa, Chordata, Mammalia, Rodentia, Muridae. The record is from RefSeq and is a predicted model, not a curated record.